Molecule: unclassified non-coding RNA, 296 nt
Filed under: fungal sp.
Lineage: Eukaryota; Fungi
Description: partial internal transcribed spacer region
Rfam family: Eukaryotic small subunit ribosomal RNA (bases 1-46)
Source: RNAcentral
AAGUCGUAACAAGGUUUCCGUAGGUGAACCUGCGGAAGGAUCAUUAACAUUUUUACUCUUUUUGGGUUUGGUUUGUGUUGUUUGUUUUUAUUAACAGAUGCACAUUCUACUCUCAUUCCACCCCAAAUGUGCAUUGUGUUGUGCUUUGUAACAAAAGCACUUCUUUUUAUCUAUCUAUACUAAAUAAACCCCUUUUUAUUACUUCUAGACUGACUUUAAACCACUUGAUUCGUACACUUCAUACUGUACGAUGACCAAUCAUAAUACAACUCUUAGCAACGGAUAUCUAGGCUCUC